CCUACGGGAGGCAGCAGUGGGGAAUCUUGCGCAAUGGGCGAAAGCCUGACGCAGCCAUGCCGCGUGAAUGAUGAAGGUCUUAGGAUUGUAAAAUUCUUUCACCGAGGACGAUAAUGACGGUACUCGGAGAAGAAGCCCCGGCUAACUUCGUGCCAGCAGCCGCGGUAAUACGAAGGGGGCUAGCGUUGCUCGGAAUUACUGGGCGUAAAGGGAGCGUAGGCGGAUAGUUUAGUCAGAGGUGAAAGCCCAGGGCUCAACCUUGGAAUUGCCUUUGAUACUGGCUAUCUUGAGUACGGAAGAGGUAUGUGGAACUCCGAGUGUAGAGGUGAAAUUCGUAGAUAUUCGGAAGAACGCCAGUGGCGAAGGCGACAUACUGGUCCGUUACUGACGCUGAGGCUCGAAAGCGUGGGGAGCAAACAGGAUUAGAUACCCUGGUAGUCCACGCUGUAAACGAUGAGUGCUAGUUGUCGGCAUGCAUGCAUGUCGGUGACGCAGCUAACGCAUUAAGCACUCCGCCUGGGGAGUACGGUCGCAAGAUUAAAACUCAAAGGAAUUGACGG
Molecule: ribosomal RNA, 560 nt
Filed under: uncultured bacterium
Lineage: Bacteria
Description: bacterial SSU rRNA
Rfam family: Bacterial small subunit ribosomal RNA
Source: RNAcentral